UUAAAAAAUAUUAAAUUUUCUAGGCGGCAGCUUGCUGCUCGACUAGCGCCUAGUGCCUUUUAGAACACUUAUAUUACCAUCAUGCCAUUAUUUCACUUAACACAUCCAAGCAAAGGGGUCUUGGUUUAUGCUGUUUGGAGAUAACCUUGUCUUGAUGGAAGAGACAAAAGAAAGCGUUAAGUGUGGAUGGUAUUUGAUUAGACUUCACCACUUGAAGAGUCAUUCCAAAGAGAUGAUCAGUUUAAAUGUCUUGGAUCAAAUAGUCCAAAAAGAUGGGAAAAUUAUUAAGAAUGUUGCUCAUAGACUUAAGACGUGGUUAAAGAUAGACAAAUGCACGCAGCCUGUUAUUCGAUAGUAAAAUCCCAUUGAGGUUAGAAAGAAAAUUUUUAUCUGACUAUUGUAAGAGCAAUUUUGUUAUAUAGAAUGGAAUGUUGGGCAAUAAAACACCAUGUACAAAAUAUGAAUAUUAAUCAUGUGAGAAGAAGACUGAUAGAUGCUUUCGUGAGAAGAGUGGAUGGAAUGGAGGAAAAUUUUAACAAAGGCGAAAUGGAAAACCAUGAAAAGUUGGUUAGAAAUUCUUAGGCAUGAUAUGCAUUAUAUAAUAGCUCUGCAGAAGAUGUGGAGAUAGAAAUGAUUGUUGAGCUAGAAUCCUUGGAACUUGCUCCACCUAGCCGAAUUAAGGAAGGCUUGAUAUGUUGUUACUGUUGUUAUUCCAUUCUUCAUUUACAAUAUUUUUAUUUUUUGUGAUAUAAAGAGUAUUAUAAUUAAUAAUAGUAUAAAGAAGAUGUAUUCAAGUAUAGAAGCAGAUAUAGGACAGAGGAGAUUUAUAGGGUCUGUUCAGUUAUAGAAAACAUUUUCUCAUUUUUUAACUAAAAAAUUCUAUUGAAUGGUUGAAUCUCCAAUUAGAAAGUAGAAAAUUCAAUUUGCAUAUCCAAGUCUCAUAUUCAGUUGAAUCUGAUUUAGCAGCACUCAAUACUGAGGCAAAAGAAAGGAGCAAGCCAAAAGGCCGGAGAUUCUUGCGCUGGAACAAGCGUAGGCCUGUAGCGCGCCCUUCACCCAAGAAGAAAUGCUUUUCUUGGCAAAGCAAGGAAGCACAGUUGCAUUCCUCUCCAUAGCCCCUCUUACUCUAUAGGCUAUUAGUACCAAGGGCAAGCACCUGAUUUGGUAUAACUAUCAAGAAAGUAGGAAUGGCAGAGAAAGAGAUGCGCUUUCUGGACACAGGAUCCAGAGUUUUUUCAAGAAAAGGUCCUUCCCUCAAUGUCAUGAUUGGGUCGACUAGGUCUGAUCAUGAAUGAAUAGAAAAUCAAGAUGUCAAUAGCAGUUGCUGUUCCAGCCAUUUUUUUAAACUUUUCCUAGGUGUAAUUCUAUAUAUUCUUAUUUCCUUUUUAAUAGGAAGAGAUAUUUUGGAAAUGCGAGGUACCAGGGGGGGUCACAGACAAGAGGUGCUCCCACUAACGAAAAGCCUAAAGGGAAAAAAAGGAGCAAACAGAACUGCAGGCUUAGUGGUAUACUGCGGUUGAAGACUCCGUCUGCGUCUUCUUUGAGAAUUGAUGCAGGACUGUCUCACCCCAGAACCUACCCCUUCCCAGUGGGACCACGUAAUAGAACUAUUAUGCGACUAAAAUUUUGUUAUUCUAGUUGGAGACUCCUGCAGGUUCAUCAAAGCUUAUAUGAACAAAAGAAGGGCUAGCCCCUAUCUCGAAAGGGCACUCCAACACUUGGAGGAAAUCUUCUGUUCUGGAGUUACCAGUUAUGAAUUGGAAAACAUCAAAAAAAUGUUUUCCAAAUUUUCUAAAAAUGAAUGCUAUUGCUUUUUGAAACAUAAAAUGUUAAGCAUAUUUAAUUUUAAAAUUACUGUGGAAAAUUAUAAAAUGUUUUCUACAACUGAACCGGGCCAUAGCUUCUAUAAGAAGUGGAUAUCUGCAGAGGGGGAGUUCCUGAAUAUUUCAAUGUAGUCUCCUUCUGGAUUCCAAUUUUGAAUUAACUCAAUAUGGUUUACCCUCUAAUAGAGAGUGCAGGAAAAAUCCUUCAUACUUGGAACUUAUCACCUUGAUGUGGUAAUCAUUUUAUCAAUACUGUAAUGUAUU
This is a long non-coding RNA of Diospyros lotus (date-plum), 2087 nucleotides long. RefSeq lists it as uncharacterized. NCBI's taxonomy places the organism in Eukaryota, Viridiplantae, Streptophyta, Magnoliopsida, Ericales, Ebenaceae. The record is from RefSeq and is a predicted model, not a curated record. The transcript has 2 exons.